This 468-nucleotide ribosomal RNA is filed under the name uncultured bacterium. Its description in RNAcentral is "partial 16S ribosomal RNA". It matches the Rfam family "Bacterial small subunit ribosomal RNA", at positions 28 to 507 of the family's 1533-position model. The record is from RNAcentral.
GACGAACGCUGGCGGCGUGCUUAACACAUGCAAGUCGAACGGAAAGGCCCUGCUUUUGUGGGGUGCUCGAGUGGCGAAAGGGUGAGUAACACGUGAGUAACCUGCCCUUGACUUUGGGAUAACUUCAGGAAACUGGGGCUAAUACCGGAUAGGAGCUCCUGCUGCAUGGUGGGGGUUGGAAAGUUUCGGCGGUUGGGGAUGGACUCGCGGCUUAUCAGCUUGUUGGUGGGGUAGUGGCUUACCAAGGCUUUGACGGGUAGCCGGCCUGAGAGGGUGACCGGCCACAUUGGGACUGAGAUACGGCACAGACUCCUACGGGAGGCAGCAGUGGGGAAUAUUGCACAAUGGUCGGAAGCCUGAUGCAGCAACGCCGCGUGCGGGAUGACGGCCUUCGGGUUGUAAACCGCUUUCGCCUGUGACGAAGCGUGAGUGACGGUAAUGGGUAAAGAGGCACGGGCUAACUACGUG